Ipomoea nil (Japanese morning glory) is the source of this 100-nucleotide long non-coding RNA. RefSeq lists it as uncharacterized. NCBI's taxonomy places the organism in Eukaryota, Viridiplantae, Streptophyta, Magnoliopsida, Solanales, Convolvulaceae. The transcript has 3 exons. The record is from RefSeq and is a predicted model, not a curated record.
GUAAAUCAUGUUGAGCCGGUUUACUUUUGUAGCAGAUGGGAUGUUUCAUUAGCAGCUCCACUUUGACGCAAAAUAUCCAGUGGCUCAACUAUGAUUAUUG